This 222-nucleotide ribosomal RNA is filed under the name uncultured Staphylococcus sp. RNAcentral describes it as "partial 16S ribosomal RNA". It matches the Rfam family "Bacterial small subunit ribosomal RNA", at positions 118 to 334 of the family's 1533-position model. The record is from RNAcentral. Lineage: Bacteria; Bacillati; Bacillota; Bacilli; Caryophanales; Staphylococcaceae.
UGGAUAACCUACCUAUAAGACUGGGAUAACUUCGGGAAACCGGAGCUAAUACCGGAUAAUAUAUUGAACCGCAUGGUUCAAUAGUGAAAGACGGUUUUGCUGUCACUUAUAGAUGGAUCCGCGCCGCAUUAGCCAGUUGGUAAGGUAACGGCUUACCAAGGCAACGAUGCGUAGCCGACCUGAGAGGGUGAUCGGCCACACUGGAACUGAGACACGGUCCAG